Molecule: ribosomal RNA, 497 nt
Filed under: uncultured bacterium
Lineage: Bacteria
Description: partial 16S ribosomal RNA
Rfam family: Bacterial small subunit ribosomal RNA
Source: RNAcentral
GACGAACGCUGGCGGCGUGCCUAAUACAUGCAAGUUGAGCGCUGAAGGUUGGUACUUGUACCAACUGGAUGAGCAGCGAACGGGUGAGUAACGCGUGGGUAAUCUGCCUUUGAGCGGGGGACAACAUUUGGAAACGAAUGCUAAUACCGCAUAAAAACUUUAAACACAAGUUUUAAGUUUGAAAGAUGCAAUUGCAUCACCCAAAGAUGAUCCCGCGUUGUAUUAGCUAGUUGGUGAGGUAAAGGCCCACCAAGGCGAUGAUACAUAGCCGACCUGAGAGGGUGAUCGGCCCCAUUGGGACUGAGACACGGCCCAAACUCCUACGGGAGGGAGCAGUAGGGAAUCCUCGGGAAUGGACGAAAGUCUGACCGAGCAACGCCGCGUGAGUGAAGAAGGGUUUCGGAUCGUAAAAAUCUGUUGGUAGGGAAGAACGUUGGUGGGAGUGGAAAGCUCACCAAGUGACGGUAACUACCCAGAAAGCGACGGCUAACUACGUG